This 332-nucleotide ribosomal RNA is filed under the name gamma proteobacterium SCGC AAA023-C14. RNAcentral's name for it is "partial 16S small subunit ribosomal RNA". It matches the Rfam family "Bacterial small subunit ribosomal RNA", at positions 369 to 692 of the family's 1533-position model. The record is from RNAcentral. Lineage: Bacteria; Pseudomonadati; Pseudomonadota; Gammaproteobacteria.
CAAUGGGGGCAAGCCUGAUGCAGCCAUGCCGCGUGGAGGAUGAAGGCCUUCGGCUUGUAAAGCCCUGUCAGCGAGGAGGAAGGNNNNNGGAUUAAUACCUUGGAGGUUUGACGUUACUCGGAGAAAAAGCGCCGGCUAACUCNGUGCCAGCAGCCGCGGUAAUACGGAGGGUGCAAGCGUUAAUCGGAAUUACUGGGCGUAAAGCGCGCGUAGGGGGUUAGGUUAAGUCGGAUGUGAAAUCCCCGGGCUCAACCUGGGAACUGCAUUCGAAACUGGCAAGCUAGAGUAUGGUAGAGGGGGGUGGAAUUCCNNGUGUAGCGGUGAAAUGCGUA